CGAACGCUGGCGGCAUGCCUAAUACAUGCAAGUCGAACGGCAGUAGAACCAGCAAUGGGACUAUGAGAGUGGCGAACGGGUGCGUAACGCGUAUGCAACUUACCUCCAACUGGGGAAUAGCCCUGGGAAACCGGGAUUAACACCGCAUAAGAUGGUAGAACCGCAUGGUUCAGCCAUUAAAGUUUACGGUUGGAGAUGGGCAUGCGUGCCAUUAGCUAGUUGGCGGGGUAAUAGCCCACCAAGGCGACGAUGGCUAGGGGGUCUGAGAGGAUGAUCCCCCACACUGGUACUGAGAUACGGACCAGACUCCUACGGGAGGCAGCAGUAGGGAAUAUUGGUCAAUGGACGCAAGUCUGAACCAGCCAUGCCGCGUGCAGGAUGAAGGCGCUCUGCGUUGUAAACUGCUUUUAGUACGGGAAGAAUAUAUCGUUUGCGAACGGUUUUUGACGGUACCGUAAGAAUAAGGAUCGGCUAACUACGUGCCAGCAG
RNAcentral lists this ribosomal RNA (489 nucleotides) under uncultured Bacteroidota bacterium. RNAcentral's name for it is "bacterial SSU rRNA". It matches the Rfam family "Bacterial small subunit ribosomal RNA", at positions 30 to 514 of the family's 1533-position model. Lineage: Bacteria; Pseudomonadati; Bacteroidota. The record is from RNAcentral.